UGGGGAAUUUUGGACAAUGGGCGAAAGCCUGAUCCAGCAAUGCCGCGUGUGUGAAGAAGGCCUUCGGGUUGUAAAGCACUUUUGUCCGGAAAGAAAUCCUUGGCUCUAAUACAGUCGGGGGAUGACGGUACCGGAAGAAUAAGCACCGGCUAACUACGUGCCAGCAGCCGCGGUAAUACGUAGGGUGCAAGCGUUAAUCGGAAUUACUGGGCGUAAAGCGUGCGCAGGCGGUUUGCUAAGACCGAUGUGAAAUCCCCGGGCUCAACCUGGGAACUGCAUUGGUGACUGGCAGGCUAGAGUAUGGCAGAGGGGGGUAGAAUUCCACGUGUAGCAGUGAAAUGCGUAGAGAUGUGGAGGAAUACCGAUGGCGAAGGCAGCCCCCUGGGCCAAUACUGACGCUCAUGCACGAAAGCGUGGGGAGCAAAACAGGAUUAGAUACCCUGGUAGUCCACGCCCUAAACGAUGUCAACUAGUUGUUGGGGAUUCAUUUCCUUAGUAACGUAGCUAACGCGUGAAGUUGACCGCCUGGGGAGUACGGUCGCAAGAUUAAAACUUAAAUGAAUUGACGGGGUCAUAGCGUUUCCU
Molecule: ribosomal RNA, 585 nt
Filed under: uncultured bacterium
Lineage: Bacteria
Description: partial 16S ribosomal RNA
Rfam family: Bacterial small subunit ribosomal RNA
Source: RNAcentral